RNAcentral lists this ribosomal RNA (3088 nucleotides) under Salmonella enterica subsp. enterica serovar Dublin. RNAcentral describes it as "23S ribosomal RNA". It matches the Rfam family "Bacterial large subunit ribosomal RNA". The record is from RNAcentral. Lineage: Bacteria; Pseudomonadati; Pseudomonadota; Gammaproteobacteria; Enterobacterales; Enterobacteriaceae.
GGUUAAGCGACUAAGCGUACACGGUGGAUGCCCUGGCAGUCAGAGGCGAUGAAGGGCGUGCUAAUCUGCGAUAAGCGCCGGUAAGGUGAUAUGAACCGUUAUAACCGGCGAUACCCGAAUGGGGAAACCCAGUGUGAUUCGUCACACUAUCAUUAACUGAAUCCAUAGGUUAAUGAGGCGAACCGGGGGAACUGAAACAUCUAAGUACCCCGAGGAAAAGAAAUCAACCGAGAUUCCCCCAGUAGCGGCGAGCGAACGGGGAGGAGCCCAGAGCCUGAAUCAGCAUGUGUGUUAGUGGAAGCGUCUGGAAAGGCGCGCGAUACAGGGUGACAGCCCCGUACACAAAAGCGCAUGUGCUGUGAGCUCGAUGAGUAGGGCGGGACACGUGGUAUCCUGUCUGAAUAUGGGGGGACCAUCCUCCAAGGCUAAAUACUCCUGACUGACCGAUAGUGAACCAGUACCGUGAGGGAAAGGCGAAAAGAACCCCGGCGAGGGGAGUGAAAAAGAACCUGAAACCGUGUACGUACAAGCAGUGGGAGCCCCACCACUAAGCCAGUGGUGAACUCCACAUACGCAUCCUUUGCUGAGGAUACGGUUAACGGAGCGAAAGCGACGUUCAACCGCAAAAGAAGCAGAGGGGGCUUAGUGGUGGGGUGACUGCGUACCUUUUGUAUAAUGGGUCAGCGACUUAUAUUCUGUAGCAAGGUUAACCGAAUAGGGGAGCCGGAGGGAAACCGAGUCUUAACCGGGCGUUAAGUUGCAGGGUAUAGACCCGAAACCCGGUGAUCUAGCCAUGGGCAGGUUGAAGGUUGGGUAACACUAACUGGAGGACCGAACCGACUAAUGUUGAAAAAUUAGCGGAUGACCUGUGGCUGGGGGUGAAAGGCCAAUCAAACCGGGAGAUAGCUGGUUCUCCCCGAAAGCUAUUUAGGUAGCGCCUCGUGAAUUCAUCUCCGGGGGUAGAGCACUGUUUCGGCUAGGGGGCCAUCCCGGCUUACCAACCCGAUGCAAACUGCGAAUACCGGAGAAUGUUAUCACGGGAGACACACGGCGGGUGCUAACGUCCGUCGUGAAGAGGGAAACAACCCAGACCGCCAGCUAAGGUCCCAAAGUCAUGGUUAAGUGGGAAACGAUGUGGGAAGGCCCAGACAGCCAGGAUGUUGGCUUAGAAGCAGCCAUCAUUUAAAGAAAGCGUAAUAGCUCACUGGUCGAGUCGGCCUGCGCGGAAGAUGUAACGGGGCUAAACCAUGCACCGAAGCUGCGGCAGCGAACGUAUCACUUAAAGCGAUUCAGCGGGUUACGAUUGACGGAGCGAAGCGACGUCAAAGCGUAUACAAAGUCGAGUCGGUUUAAGGAUACGUUCGUUGGGUAGGGGAGCGUUCUGUAAGCCUGUGAAGGUGGCCUGUGAGGGUUGCUGGAGGUAUCAGAAGUGCGAAUGCUGACAUAAGUAACGAUAAAGCGGGUGAAAAGCCCGCUCGCCGGAAGACCAAGGGUUCCUGUCCAACGUUAAUCGGGGCAGGGUGAGUCGACCCCUAAGGCGAGGCCGAAAGGCGUAGUCGAUGGGAAACGGGUUAAUAUUCCCGUACUUGGUGUUACUGCGAAGGGGGGACGGAGAAGGCUAUGUUGGCCGGGCGACGGUUGUCCCGGUUUAAGCGUGUAGGUGUGUGUUCCAGGUAAAUCCGGUUCACUUUAACACUGAGGCGUGAUGACGAGGCACUACGGUGCUGAAGUAACAAAUGCCCUGCUUCCAGGAAAAGCCUCUAAGCAUCAGGUAACAUCAAAUCGUACCCCAAACCGACACAGGUGGUCAGGUAGAGAAUACCAAGGCGCUUGAGAGAACUCGGGUGAAGGAACUAGGCAAAAUGGUGCCGUAACUUCGGGAGAAGGCACGCUGACACGUAGGUGAAGUGAUUUACUCACGGAGCUGAAGUCAGUCGAAGAUACCAGCUGGCUGCAACUGUUUAUUAAAAACACAGCACUGUGCAAACACGAAAGUGGACGUAUACGGUGUGACGCCUGCCCGGUGCCGGAAGGUUAAUUGAUGGGGUCAGCGCAAGCGAAGCUCCUGAUCGAAGCCCCGGUAAACGGCGGCCGUAACUAUAACGGUCCUAAGGUAGCGAAAUUCCUUGUCGGGUAAGUUCCGACCUGCACGAAUGGCGUAAUGAUGGCCAGGCUGUCUCCACCCGAGACUCAGUGAAAUUGAACUCGCUGUGAAGAUGCAGUGUACCCGCGGCAAGACGGAAAGACCCCGUGAACCUUUACUAUAGCUUGACACUGAACAUUGAGCCUUGAUGUGUAGGAUAGGUGGGAGGCUUUGAAGUGUGGACGCCAGUCUGCAUGGAGCCGACCUUGAAAUACCACCCUUUAAUGUUUGAUGUUCUAACGUGGACCCGUUACCCGGGUUGCGGACAGUGUCUGGUGGGUAGUUUGACUGGGGCGGUCUCCUCCUAAAGAGUAACGGAGGAGCACGAAGGUUGGCUAAUCCUGGUCGGACAUCAGGAGGUUAGUGCAAUGGCAUAAGCCAGCUUGACUGCGAGCGUGACGGCGCGAGCAGGUGCGAAAGCAGGUCAUAGUGAUCCGGUGGUUCUGAAUGGAAGGGCCAUCGCUCAACGGAUAAAAGGUACUCCGGGGAUAACAGGCUGAUACCGCCCAAGAGUUCAUAUCGACGGCGGUGUUUGGCACCUCGAUGUCGGCUCAUCACAUCCUGGGGCUGAAGUAGGUCCCAAGGGUAUGGCUGUUCGCCAUUUAAAGUGGUACGCGAGCUGGGUUUAGAACGUCGUGAGACAGUUCGGUCCCUAUCUGCCGUGGGCGCUGGAGAACUGAGGGGGGCUGCUCCUAGUACGAGAGGACCGGAGUGGACGCAUCACUGGUGUUCGGGUUGUCAUGCCAAUGGCACUGCCCGGUAGCUAAAUGCGGAAGAGAUAAGUGCUGAAAGCAUCUAAGCACGAAACUUGCCCCGAGAUGAGUUCUCCCUGAGACUUAAAGUCUCCUGAAGGAACGUUGAAGACGACGACGUUGAUAGGCCGGGUGUGUAAGCGCAGCGAUGCGUUGAGCUAACCGGUACUAAUGAACCGUGAGGCUUAACCCU